CCAAAUCGCUGUACUUACAGUUUUAUAUUUCCUUACUUGAAAGAGGAAAAGAGGCUCUCAAUCGCUAAUUCCCCAAAUCAUUCAAUCCCCAAAGUGCAAUGAAGCUCUCAAUCACUCAAUGAAUCACGGUAAGCUCUCAAUCCUCUAUCAAGCUGUCAAUUCACUUUAAAAAACACUCAAUCCACUGUAAACUUUUCAACGUAAGCUCUCAAACCUCAAUCAAUUGUAAGUUUUUUGGGUGUAUCUGAAUUUUUUUCUGAAUCUAUGUAUUCUCUAUUUGUUCAUCCAUGUUUGAGUUUGUAGAGAUUUGUUUGUGUCAUGCAUGCUUGAGUUUGUAGAGAUUUGUUUGGGUCAUGCAUGUUUGAGUUUGUAGAGAUUUGUUUGGGUUAUGCAUGUAAUUCAGAUUGUAGAGUGUUUGUAGAGAUUUAUUAGGGGUUUUACUUUUGUUAUAUUUCUGCACAAUUCUGUAGUGAUUUGUUUGGGGUUUUACUUUUUGUUAUAUUUCUCUACAAUUCUGUAGAGAUUUGUUUGGGGUUUUACUUUUUGUUAUAUUUCUCUACAAUUCUGUAGAGAUUUGUUAGGGGUUUUACUUUUCGUAGUUUGAUUUUGUAUGUUAUAGUUUAGUUGUAGUCCAAAGAGGAGUCUUACAAAAAUAUUGAAGUUAUGAUCUAGGUUUCACUUUCGAGUCUUAGAGUUCACUUUCUUUUCCAGUUUCGAGCCUUAUAGUUCACUUUCUUUUUCACUUCAUAUAUUAAUUUAUUGGUGCUAUUAACCUAAAUUUCAUAUUUGUACUUGAUAGGUUGUCGAGGAAUCAAAAACUGGUGGUCAAGGUUUUGAGAUAAACAUCAACAGUAAUUGUUUGAUAGGUAUAUAACUUUUAUUAGUAAAUCUAUUGAUACUUUUUUAUUUUUUGAUAAGUAAAAAUAUGAAUUUUAGGAGAUAAACAUCAGCAUCCUUUGAAUCUGUUGCAUAUCUACCUAAGUUAUAUCCUCGACCUGAUGUUGUAAGGUAUAUAGUAUCCUCCUGCUUUAACCAUGAGUAGUGACAUGUUUGUCUAUUUUAUCACUGCUAAAAAAAUGAUAUCCUUAAAUUCUCACUCAUGAUCUGGUUUUGUCUUAAAGGGUCAAUAUUUUUAUUUUAGUGGAAUAUUUUUAUUUUAGUGGAGCGGGUCAUUAAAUAGAUAUAUAUUUUGUUCUUACAAUUUUUGUUAGAAAUAAGAAUUUCAUAUCAACAAAUUUUAAUGAAAAAAAAUAAUUAAAUAGGUUGAGUGAUUUUCUAUGCAAAGAACUCAUAGUUGAGUGACUUUUGAAUUGAAAAUCAAAAUUGAGUGAACUUUCGUGAAAAAGUUGAUAGUUGAAUAAUCAUCAAAGAUAUUAACCAUUAAACUAACACCACAAUAAGAUACAAUAGGAAUAGGUAACAACCAUAUCCAAACAACAAGUCGUACAAGUAAUUUUUUAAAAAAAUAUAUUAUAUUUAGACUAACACCACAAUAAGAUACAAUAGGUAACAACCAUAUCCAAACAACAAGUUGUACAAGUAAAAAUUAAAAAUAAUAAUAUUAUAUUUAAACUAACACCACAAUACGAUACAAUAGGUAACAACAAGUUGUAUAAGUAAAAAUCAAAACAAAUAUUUUAUUUAAACGAACACCACAAUACGAUACAAUAGGUAACAACCAUAUCCAAACAACAAGUUGUAUAAGUAAAAAUCAAAAAACAAAUAUUUUAGUUAAACGAACACCACAAUACGAUCCAAUAGGUAACAACCAUAUCCAAACAACAAGUUGUAUAAGUAAAAAUCAAAACAAAUAUUUUAUUUAAGCAAACACCACAAUGCGAUACAAGGAGGGAAGACAACUCCUUAUGUGAUUGAUCAGCUGCAGCUUGGUACUAGCUGGAAAUCCCCUGUUUCUUCUUGAGAAAAUUCCGCUAUUCCUCCAACGACUCUGUAAAGUGAAAUGACGAAACUCAGUAGAGUAUAUGCAGACCUUCAACUACCUUGUGGAAGUAGAGAGGUUGUUUUUGAACAAACCUCGGUUCAUCAAAUUUAGCAAAUCAAAAUAAUGAAAAGGAAAAACUGAAAGUGAAGAAAACAUGACAACUAAAAGAAAAACAGUAUAGAUCAUUCAGGAUAUCUAACAUCAUCAAACUUCAACCAAACUGUAGAAUUCAACAAGCAUAGUUAGUUUUUUUUUCCUGUUUGCAACACUAACUACUGAAUGUUGACAGAUAAAUAUAUUUACCUGAAUUGAAGGCAGUAACUUUAAGUUUGUUCCUCCCCAAAUCCUCGUGUUUUUCCUGGAUCUUCUCAGCAAAAGCCACCAAGGAAGGAUCACAUUUGUGUAACUCAAUCAGCU
RNAcentral lists this long non-coding RNA (2359 nucleotides) under Solanum tuberosum (potato). Its description in RNAcentral is "long non-coding RNA (STUB_LNC004433)". The record is from RNAcentral. Lineage: Eukaryota; Viridiplantae; Streptophyta; Magnoliopsida; Solanales; Solanaceae.